Molecule: ribosomal RNA, 239 nt
Filed under: uncultured bacterium
Lineage: Bacteria
Description: partial 16S ribosomal RNA
Rfam family: Bacterial small subunit ribosomal RNA
Source: RNAcentral
GAUCCUGGCUCAGGAUGAACGCUGGCGGCAUGCCUAAUACAUGCAAGUCGAACGAGAGGAAGGAAAGCUUGCUUUUCUAAAUCUAGUGGCGAACGGGUGAGUAACACGUAGGUAACCUGCCCAUGUGCCCGGGAUAACUUCUGGAAACGGAUGCUAAAACCGGAUAGGUAGCAGACAAGCAUUUGACUGCUAUUAAAGUGGCUAAGGCCAUGAACAUGGAUGGACCUGCGGUGCAUUAG